AGAGUUUGAUCCUGGCUCAGGACGAACGCUGGCGGCGUGCUUAACACAUGCAAGUCGAACGCUGAUCCCGCUUCGGUGGGGGAUGAGUGGCGAACGGGUGAGUAACACGUGGGCAACCUGCCCCCGGCUCUGGGAUAACUCCAAGAAAUUGGGGCUAAUACCGGAUGUGACCGCUGGCCGCAUGGUCUGGUGGUGGAAAGGGUUUCCGGCUGGGGAUGGGCCCGCGGCCUAUCAGCUUGUUGGUGGGGUAGUGGCCUACCAAGGCGACGACGGGUAGCCGGCCUGAGAGGGUGACCGGCCACACUGGGACUGAGACACGGCCCAGACUCCUACGGGAGGCAGCAGUGGGGAAUAUUGCGCAAUGGGCGGAAGCCUGACGCAGCGACGCCGCGUGGGGGGAUGACGGCCUUCGGGUUGUAAACCUCUUUCAGCAGGGACGAAGCCGCGAGGUGACGGUACCUGCAGAAGAAGCACCGGCCAACUACGUGCCAGCAGCCGCGGUAAUACGUAGGGUGCAAGCGUUGUCCGGAAUUAUUGGGCGUAAAGAGCUCGUAGGCGGUUGGUCGCGUCGGCUGUGAAAACCCGGAGCUCAACUCCGGGCCUGCAGUCGAUACGGGCCGACUUGAGUGUUGCAGGGGAGACUGGAAUUCCUGGUGUAGCGGUGAAAUGCGCAGAUAUCAGGAGGAACACCGGUGGCGAAGGCGGGUCUCUGGGCAACAACUGACGCUGAGGAGCGAAAGCGUGGGGAGCGAACAGGAUUAGAUACCCUAGUAGUCC
This 777-nucleotide ribosomal RNA is filed under the name uncultured bacterium. RNAcentral's name for it is "bacterial SSU rRNA". It matches the Rfam family "Bacterial small subunit ribosomal RNA", at positions 8 to 796 of the family's 1533-position model. The record is from RNAcentral.